CCGUGCUGCCGCCGAAGAUUGGGGAUGGGGUUGAGGGGUCGAGCUGGGGCGGGACGAAGCCGGCGGGGGCUGGGGUGGCGACGGGAGCCGCCGGGGUUUCUGGGGCGGCGGCGUGGAGGGCGGUUGGGGCGCGGGAGGUGGGGGAAGGGAAGGCGAGGGAGCGGGGUUUGGGGGAGGAGGAAGGGGACCGGGUGGCGGCGAGGAGGUGGCGGGUGGCGGCGGAGGCUUGCGUGGCCAUGGCCAUGGCGGGAGCUAGCUUAGCGAGAGCAAGGAGCGCGCGUGUGGGGGAUGGAUAUGGAUCGGAGUUGAUGGAGGGAAGAAGAAGAAGGGGUGGCUGAGCUUUGGCUAAAGAGGGGAUUGGGGGUGGAGAAGCGGAUAAGGGGAUAUGAGGCCGGCCAAUGGGGAGCCCGGGUUUUGAUACGGCCGGAGCGGGAGGCUUGGCGUGGCGACCACAGAAAACACAAUACAAAUCGCAGCGUGUCAACGUGCACUGGGGUCGCCGGUCGCGGUUUUCCGUGGAUUUUCCUUCCACUCUGUAUGUAUCCGACGACGUUCUAGAUCUUUUCCGUAAAGAGUUGCUUUAGUCGAUUUAAGGUGAGAGCAUUGGAAGCACUACAUGUAACGUGAAACACUGGCGUAACGUAAGUUGUAUUGCU
Molecule: long non-coding RNA, 656 nt
Filed under: Brachypodium distachyon (stiff brome)
Lineage: Eukaryota; Viridiplantae; Streptophyta; Magnoliopsida; Poales; Poaceae
Description: long non-coding RNA (BDIS_LNC000038)
Source: RNAcentral